RNAcentral lists this ribosomal RNA (177 nucleotides) under Triticum aestivum (bread wheat). RNAcentral describes it as "partial small subunit ribosomal RNA". The record is from RNAcentral. Lineage: Eukaryota; Viridiplantae; Streptophyta; Magnoliopsida; Poales; Poaceae.
AUGACCAUAAACAAGAGUCAAGGGCAAACCUUAAAUAGAGUUGGAGUCUAUUUGCCAUCUCCAGUGUUCUCUCAUGGUCAAUUAUAUGUAGCAUUUUCUAGAGUUACUUCACCAAAGGGGUUGAGAGUUCUAAUCGAAAAUAGUCCAUUUCUUAUGAGAAUUGCACCCAUAAUGUAG